UACAGAGGGUGCGAGCGUUGUUCGGAAUUAUUGGGCGUAAAGAGCGUGUAGGCGGCGUCGCAAGUCGGGUGUGAAAGCCCACGGCUCAACCGUGGAAGUGCGCCCGAAACUGCGGUGCUGGAGUGCCGGAGAGGAUGGCGGAAUUCCGGGUGUAGAGGUGAAAUUCGUAGAUAUCCGGAGGAACACCGGUGGCGAAGGCGGCCAUCUGGACGGACACUGACGCUGAGACGCGAGAGCGUGGGUAG
Molecule: ribosomal RNA, 245 nt
Filed under: uncultured Aggregicoccus sp.
Lineage: Bacteria; Pseudomonadati; Myxococcota; Myxococcia; Myxococcales; Myxococcaceae
Description: partial 16S ribosomal RNA
Rfam family: Bacterial small subunit ribosomal RNA
Source: RNAcentral